GUGUCAGCAGCCGCGGUAAAACGUAGGAGGCGAGCGUUAUCCGGAUUCAUUGGGCGUAAAGGGCGUGUAGGCGGUGACUCAAGUUGGGCGUGAAAUCUCCCGGCUCAACCGGGAGGCGCCGUCCAAUACUGGGACACUUGAGGGCAGGAGAGGAAAGCGGAAUUCCCGGUGUAGUGGUGGAAUACUUAGAUAUCGGGAGGAACACCAGUGGCGAAAGCGGCUUUCUGGACUGUGCCUGACGCUGAAGCGCGAAAGCGUGGGUAGCAAACGGGAUUAGAUACCCCGGUAGUCCACGCUGUAAACGAUGGAUACUAGGUGUUGGUGGCUAUUGACCCCACCAGUGCCGCAGCUAACGCGAUAAGUAUCCCGCCUGGGGACUACGGCCGCAAGGCUAAAACUUAAAGGAAUUGACGGGG
Molecule: ribosomal RNA, 416 nt
Filed under: uncultured prokaryote
Description: bacterial SSU rRNA
Rfam family: Bacterial small subunit ribosomal RNA
Source: RNAcentral